UAGCAUAUUCAUUUGACGUUUAGCUGCAGAAGAAGCACCGGCUAACUCCGUGCCAGCAGCCGCGGUAAUACGGAGGGUGCGAGCGUUAAUCGGAAUUACUGGGCGUAAAGCGCAUGCAGGUGGUUUGUUAAGUCAGAUGUGAAAGCCCGGGGCUCAACCUCGGAAUUGCAUUUGAAACUGGCAAACUAGAGUACUGUAGAGGGGGUAGGAAUUUCAGGUGUAGCGGUGAAAUGCGUAGAGAUCUGAAGGAAUACCGGUGGCGAAGGCGGCCCCCUGGACAGAUACUGACACUCAGAUGCGAAAGCGUGGGGAGCAAACAGGAUUAGAUACCCUGUAG
RNAcentral lists this ribosomal RNA (337 nucleotides) under uncultured bacterium. RNAcentral's name for it is "bacterial SSU rRNA". It matches the Rfam family "Bacterial small subunit ribosomal RNA", at positions 457 to 793 of the family's 1533-position model. The record is from RNAcentral.